AUGGAAUGGGCUGACCCUUGGUUUUGUGGUUCUGGCAGAAGUAGUGUUACCUGUGAUGGCUGGACUGUGUGCCCUCUAAUGUCCAGGAGUAUGGAUUGCUUGAUAAAUGCUAUAUUCUCACCUACCUGCAUUGCCCGGUUGCCGGUGGGGGAAGAUGACUGUGGGCUGGGGAGGCUGCAAUUUCAACCCUGCUUGCUGUUUGAGCGGCAUCCGAUUCAAGUGCUGACUCCUUUGGUGCUGAGAUGGAGCAGGUGCGUUCAGACUUUUCUGCUGGGGGAAAAGAAAAAUGGUGUCAUUUCAGCAGUUUCCUCUCUGCAUUAAGCAAAAGAGGGCCAGUUGUGCUCAACGUUCUUCAGUAGCACGGUUAGCUGAGUACGUGCUCUCCCUGAUGUCCCCUAAAAAAUAGAAGUUGUUCCACGCUUUUAAUGGAAGCACAGAAUAACCAAAAAAACCUUUUUUUAAAGUUUCUAAUCUCCUACAUAAUCCUCCUUCUACAAUUACCUCCAAAUGCUAGAAAACUAUGUGGCAGGGCUGUUCUUCCUCAGCUCUAAGUUUUAUCUCCUCCUUCCUGAGUAUGCUGCUGCAAGUGCGCAGCUUCAAACUGCCUGGCUCGUGAUGGGUUUUCUUAUGCGAGCCCGAGCUAUCCAAGCACGGUCUACUUAUAGCUGUCUCAGUUAACUGUCUCUUUGCAGCCUUUCCUUUAAAAUAGAAGUCCCUUCACAGUUGCAGAAUAGGGGUGGCAUUUCCCAGAAACUAAGUACGCCUUGUGGCAGAAGAAGUAGAAGCAAGAACUGUUCAUUUCCAUCACAACUUCAAUUUGCAAUGGCUGUUUCUCAUUUUUUAAUUGAGGUAUGAGACCACGGCAACUAUUAGACUAAGUCUAAGUCUAUCUUUGUUUCUUUCUGGAGCGUGCAGGUUGAUGGAAGGCUGGACAGGGCUGAGCGAUCCGAUCCUGCUGUAGCUGGCUCCAAUUGGCGUGGGGGAAGUUGGACCAGGUGGCUGUUAUGGGUCCCUGCCACCCUGAGUGACUUCAAAAUUCUGUGAUAAGUCAGUGCUUAAAAACCCAUGUAAUCUAACAGCUAUGCUAUUGAACAGCUACCAGUAAUGACAUUAUUGAGUUAACUGUAUUUACACUACAGUUUAAAUAAUUAAUUAAACUAUAAGUAACAGUUACAUAGAUGUUGGAAAGAAUGAAGAAUAGUUUAGAAACAUUUUGUUGUAUAAAAUCCAGGUUAGAAGAGAAACCAUGGCACUUGUUAUGUAAGUUUCUUGCACGGUAUUAUGUGUAUCAGAAAAUGCUUUGUAACGUGUAGAUGAUACUAGACUUCCAGAACUACUCUACUGCUAAAUUAAACCUAUUUACAGCUGUGCCAAUAUAUAAUGUCUGAGCCUUGUUCUUUUGUCUUUCUGCCUUUUAUUUAAGGAAUGUAAAGUUAAAUAACUUCGUGGGUGUCAGGAGGUGGUUAUACUAGGUUUGUUGGGCAUUAUUUUAAAAUGACGCAUUUCCCCAGUGAUGCUCCAAUAUUUCUAAACACCUUGUAGCUUCCAUCUUGGUAUCCUUAUGUGCUACUGUCAGGCUUAAGGUCUUUACGCACAGCCUCCUUCUCUCCAACUUAUGCUAUGAAGCUUCUCCUGUGUCACAUUACCAAAAUAAAGUAUGUAUACACUAUGUGCUUUCA
This is a long non-coding RNA of Chrysolophus pictus (golden pheasant), 1679 nucleotides long. NCBI's taxonomy places the organism in Eukaryota, Metazoa, Chordata, Aves, Galliformes, Phasianidae. The record is from Ensembl.